Molecule: ribosomal RNA, 763 nt
Filed under: Lacticaseibacillus rhamnosus
Lineage: Bacteria; Bacillati; Bacillota; Bacilli; Lactobacillales; Lactobacillaceae
Description: bacterial SSU rRNA
Rfam family: Bacterial small subunit ribosomal RNA
Source: RNAcentral
UGCAGUCGACGAGUUCUGAUUAUUGAAAGGUGCUUGCAUCUUGAUUUAAUUUUGAACGAGUGGCGGACGGGUGAGUAACACGUGGGUAACCUGCCCUUAAGUGGGGGAUAACAUUUGGAAACAGAUGCUAAUACCGCAUAAAUCCAAGAACCGCAUGGUUCUUGGCUGAAAGAUGGCGUAAGCUAUCGCUUUUGGAUGGACCCGCGGCGUAUUAGCUAGUUGGUGAGGUAACGGCUCACCAAGGCAAUGAUACGUAGCCGAACUGAGAGGUUGAUCGGCCACAUUGGGACUGAGACACGGCCCAAACUCCUACGGGAGGCAGCAGUAGGGAAUCUUCCACAAUGGACGCAAGUCUGAUGGAGCAACGCCGCGUGAGUGAAGAAGGCUUUCGGGUCGUAAAACUCUGUUGUUGGAGAAGAAUGGUCGGCAGAGUAACUGUUGUCGGCGUGACGGUAUCCAACCAGAAAGCCACGGCUAACUACGUGCCAGCAGCCGCGGUAAUACGUAGGUGGCAAGCGUUAUCCGGAUUUAUUGGGCGUAAAGCGAGCGCAGGCGGUUUUUUAAGUCUGAUGUGAAAGCCCUCGGCUUAACCGAGGAAGUGCAUCGGAAACUGGGAAACUUGAGUGCAGAAGAGGACAGUGGAACUCCAUGUGUAGCGGUGAAAUGCGUAGAUAUAUGGAAGAACACCAGUGGCGAAGGCGGCUGUCUGGUCUGUAACUGACGCUGAGGCUCGAAAGCAUGGGUAGCGAACAGGAUUAGAUAC